GUGCUCGCUUCAGCAGCACAUAUCCUAAAAUGUGGAACGAUAAAGAUGAUUAGCAUGGUCCCUGGGUAACAAUGACACGCAAAUUCGUGAAGCAUUCCAUACUUUU
Small nuclear RNA from Gorilla gorilla gorilla (western lowland gorilla), 106 nucleotides. NCBI's taxonomy places the organism in Eukaryota, Metazoa, Chordata, Mammalia, Primates, Hominidae. The record is from Ensembl.